This 492-nucleotide ribosomal RNA is filed under the name uncultured bacterium. RNAcentral describes it as "partial 16S ribosomal RNA". It matches the Rfam family "Bacterial small subunit ribosomal RNA", at positions 29 to 507 of the family's 1533-position model. The record is from RNAcentral.
AGUGAACGCUGGCGGUAGGCCUAACACAUGCAAGUCGAACGGCAGCACAGUAAGAGCUUGCCCUUACGGGUGGCGAGUGGCGGACGGGUGAGGAAUACAUCGGAAUCUACUUUUUCGUGGGGGAUAACGUAGGGAAACUUACGCUAAUACCGCAUACGACCUACGGGUGAAAGCAGGGGAUCUUCGGACCUUGCGCGAUUGAAUGAGCCGAUGUCGGAUUAGCUAGUUGGCGGGGUAAAGGCCCACCAAGGCGACGAUCCGUAGCUGGUCUGAGAGGAUGAUCAGCCACACUGGAACUGAGACACGGUCCAGACUCCUACGGGAGGCAGCAGUGGGGAAUAUUGGACAAAGGGCGCAAGCCUGAUCCAGCCAUACCGCGUGGGUGAAGAAGGCCUUCGGGUUGUAAAGCCCUUUUGUUGGGAAAGAAAAGCAGCAGGUUAAUACCCCGCUGUUCUGACGGUACCCAAAGAAUAAGCACCGGCUAACUUCGUG